Molecule: ribosomal RNA, 494 nt
Filed under: uncultured bacterium
Lineage: Bacteria
Description: partial 16S ribosomal RNA
Rfam family: Bacterial small subunit ribosomal RNA
Source: RNAcentral
AUGAACGCUGGCGGCGUGCCUAAUACAUGCAAGUCGAGCGAACAGACGAGGAGCUUGCUCCUCUGACGUUAGCGGCGGACGGGUGAGUAACACGUGGAUAACCUACCUAUAAGACCGGGAUAACUUCGGGAAACCGGAGCUAAUACCGGAUAAUAUAUUGAACCGCAUGGUUCAAUAGUGAAAGACGGUUUUGCUGUCACUUAUAGAUGGAUCCGCGCCGCAUUAGCUAGUUGGUAAGGUAACGGCUUACCAAGGCAACGAUGCGUAGCCGACCUGAGAGGGUGAUCGGCCACACUGGAACUGAGACACGGUCCAGACUCCUACGGGAGGCAGCAGUAGGGAAUCUUCCGCAAUGGGCGAAAGCCUGACGGAGCAACGCCGCGUGAGUGAUGAAGGUCUUCGGAUCGUAAAACUCUGUUAUUAGGGAAGAACAAAUGUGUAAGUAACUAUGCACGUCUUGACGGUACCUAAUCAGAAAGCCACGGCUAACUACG